RNAcentral lists this long non-coding RNA (1388 nucleotides) under Brachypodium distachyon (stiff brome). Its description in RNAcentral is "long non-coding RNA (BDIS_LNC005654)". Lineage: Eukaryota; Viridiplantae; Streptophyta; Magnoliopsida; Poales; Poaceae. The record is from RNAcentral.
GGAUCGACUCACUAGCACACACAGUUUCAAGAUGUAAUAUCAUAGAACAAAGGUCUCAAUAUUACAACGAAUCAUCCAGAAUUUAAAGGUACUUACAACUCGCAUAACCUCACGGGUUAGCUCGAAAUAAAACAACUGUUUAGCAGCGGAAAACGAAAGAUACAAGGGCACAUCAACACCACGGUGAGAGCGUGUUGGAAUGUAAGCCCGUAACCCAAACAAGCAGAACGUACAUCUUACUCGUCGUCGGAGCUUCCUGCAUCAUUAAACGAUGCAGCCACUAUGGUCAAUACAUUGAAUGUAUUGGCAAGAUUCACUAUGAGUUAUAUCAGAGCCUACCAAGUAUAAGCGGUAUUUGGCAAGGUGGAGUUCAGGCUGUUUGCGUGGAAGCAGAACAUAAAUUACCCUACUACAAAGGAAUGUUAUAAUAAUGUUAACUAUUGGACACGGGGUAGACACACCCAUGCUCCUAUUAACCUAGAGCACAUUGAAGUGGAUUCAUCAAGUGCCCCUACCCUGUUCAACCAUUCAUUUUAUUUAAGAAAUUGGAAUGACUGAGACUUUCCUUACAGCUCCACAUCUAGUCGCUCAAAAUGUCCGUUGCGGAGGACACGGCUAAGUACUUAGUUUUGACGCUCUCGAGAGUUUGUACACAUUCCCCACAAGAAACCGACGUGUUAAUCCCUUGCUGUCCUCAGGGUAGAGUAGCAACGGCAUCGAUUACGAGAUUUUCAGAGGUAAUUCCCUAAACCACGAGAGAAUCACGCUCCCCCUACACGGCUACCUCAGUACAAUUCCUCGGGUCUCGGUUCAUACAACUUACUCUUGUCUCGCCAGAGCCCAUAUAGCAUUGUGGUUGUAGUAGAAGCUUCUAAAUAGGAAACUAGUCCAGUCUCUGUUACCCCAGGUGGCAUUCCACAUUUGCAACGUAGGCGCUCCCCGAAUCCACGGGAGAGACGUCCAUGGACGAUCCAUUCCUAAAUCCACAGGAACUCGACCCAGAGGGACCCACAGAAAUGGACCUGACGCCGCUAAUCCUCAAAAUCUUCAAAGCAGCCCACCCAGGACGGUUCAUUGAAUUAUUUGUUUUGCCUUACUUCUAACAAAACAUUUCAUAUCGCCAAAGGCAUAACAAUAUCAUAAUGUAGUUAUUUUCCCCACGAUACUACCAUAGCCUAGCAUUCAACUACAAUCGAUGGCAAUUUUUGUAGCAAGGUAAUGGCGAGGUUAAACUAGACUACCUGAGAUUUAUAGCAAGCAUAGAAGUACGAGUAAUAUUGCUGAUGCAUCUAAUAAAACAUCUAGUGCAUAGUAAAAAUAUUUAGGAGAAUGAUUAAAGUGAACUUGCCUUGUCCAAGGUUGUGGUAGUUCUCGCACUCUUCGCAACA